UCUAACGUACAGAAUUUAUAACAGACAAGAAGAUGCCUUGUCUUGAGCGAGAGGCCAAUAGUGAAGACUCGUGCCUCCUCCUUGUCCGUUGAGUUGAAAAAACAGAGCAAAGCCACAAGUUUUCGUUUUCUGCAGGUGUGGUUUUCAUCAGCUGUGAAGAAAGAAUCAGGCAGCAAAAACGACAACGUCAAGCUCUCCCCUUAUCAACAUUGUCAUCAAGUCUGUUUUAUGGAAGUUCAACAAAGUCAAGGGUGUACCAUUACUGUAAGAGGAGCCACUUACAUACUGAAACUAUAAUGGUUUCUCUGCGUUAUCACCCUUCUUGGUUCAGUGUGGCACCAAUGAUGGAUUGGACAGAUAAUCACUUUAGGACUUUAGCACGGCUCAUCUCAAAACAUGCAUGGUUAUACACAGAAAUGAUUGCUGCAGAGACAAUUGUCUUUCAGAAAGGAGAUUUGAACCGAUUCUUGGCAUAUGGUCCAGAGCAACAUCCAAUAGUACUUCAGAUUGGGGGAAGUAAUUUGGAUAACCUCGCAAAAGCAACUCAACUUGCAGAUCCCUAUGGCUACGAUGAAAUCAAUUUCAAUUGUGGUUGUCCUAGCCCAAGGGUAGCUGGACAUGGCUGUUUUGGCGUGCGUCUUAUGCUGGAUCCAAAGGGAAGUUUGUUGCUGAGGCCAUGUCAGUUAUAGCUGCAAACACUGAUGUACCUGUGAGUGUCAAAUGCCGAAUCGGUGUUGAUGACCAUGACUCAUAUUAUGAGCUCUGUGAUUUCAUAUACAAGGUUUCAUCGCAAUCACCUACUAGGCAUUUCAUUAUACACUCCCGAAAAGCAUUACUUAAUGGACUCACCCCAGCUGAAAAUAGGAAAAUUCCUCCCCUGAAAUACGAAUACUAUUAUGCUUUGUUGCGUGAUUUUCCCGAUCUACAGUUUACAAUAAAUGGAGGUAUACAAACCAUAGAUGAAGUAAGUUUGAAGUAUUAUCUAAUUGUAUGCAUUGGUGAUGAUAAGAUUAAAAUUUGUUUGGGUUGUGUUUUUGCAAAUUCAAUUGAUUAUGCUCUGGUUUGCAGUCAUUUGGAAAGUUUCCAAGAUGGAAACUUUUCAAAAUAUCCUCUCCAUCUACCUUCUUGUCACACAAAGACAGUAUUAAAAAAUGUAAUGCUAAGGGAGGAAUCAUGGGUAUGAAUUGAUUGUGUAUGCGUACUAGAUGACUAAGGACACAGGAAAUGAGCAGUGUUAACAAAAAUACUCAAAUGAACGAUUUGGGGACUGAUGGAUAUUCAGAACUGGUUUUUAGGGACUUUGGAUGGCUCUAAUGGUGAGCUCAAGGAAAAGUGCUUGGAUGUUGCUCAGAAUAGGAAGAGGACUCUGCUUUAAGCAUCACUACAAACUGACAUGACCGUUAACGUCCUUUUUUUUUUAUGUUUCCUGAAAACGUUUUUGCUCAUACGAGGGCUACUGGAGGGAAAGGGGGACUCGACCCUGUCCCUACUAGCUUGGCAUUAUUGUAAGAUAUAUGGUUUAUGGUUUAGCUGGAAUUGCUCUAUCAAUUCAAAAGUAGAAAAAACUUGCUGGAGAUACUUGAAAUCUAAUGAGUUUAGUAUAGAAGUCUGCAUGGCCAGAGGCAAGGCAUGUCAAAAUGAAAGGUCAAAAGUAGCACGGUUGACCAAGAGUUACAUGUGAUGUGGGAGGUAGAUUUGAUAGGAUUUUUGGUAUCUUUAAUAGGGAGGUUAGGAAAUACUGGAAUACUUGAAAUGGUCAUGGGGAAAUGGUUAAAAUGAGCAGGAAGGCUGACUUAUGACUCUGGAGGUUUUGGAUUAGAUUUGCCCAUUUGAUUUGUCUGUACCAUUAUCUAAAGUAGAUGAUGCAUUCCAUGGAAAUAGCAUUUUUAAAUAAAAUUAGUCUUCGUUUUACUUUUCUUUUUGAAGAUUGGUGGAUCUGUUGUUCACAAAGCUUUUUCUUAGAUUGGCGGGUCCCCCAUACUGGGUAUGGUUGCCAAUAAACAGCAAAGAGCAACUGUUUAUAUCAAAACCACAGUACUCCUCUUCAUCUGGGCAUAAGCGAUGGUCCAAAUCCUUGAGAGAUUGUUUCCAGGGCAUCUCUGUUUGGAAUGGAUCUCAAUUGGCAUUCUACACUAAACUGAUGCAAGGAAGACAGGAUUCAAAUUUUCCAACUGUUAGAAUAAAAAUUUGGUACUGGAGGGUUUUUUUUUUUAUUAUUUUAAAUAAUCAUUAUAGUUUGGGCAGAUAGAUUAAUGUAUGUUCUGAGAGAGUUGGACAUACUCACAACUUAUUCUUGCUUAAAAGCUAGUGAAGAUAGUCAGAUUGUGACACGUGUUCACCAGGUGCCAAUUACACUGGCAGGGUUAGAGAUGGGUGAUACGACUUCCACUACAGAUUGUAUACAAAAAAUAAUUACCAAAGUAUUUAGCCAGCUCAAUUCCUUGUCUGCUCUCAACUUUUGUAUUUACAUUACUUCGGAUAAAAUUAGCAGACUCGAUACAGUGAAUCCAUUUUUUAGGAAGCCUUGUUCAAAUCAUUAUGGAAAUGUAACUUCGCCCACUUUCAAGUCCAUUUAACUGUCUUAGAAAGUUUAGCAAGUUUUGUCGCUAUUAUCCAUAUCUACCUCCUAGGACACCCACAUUAAUAUUGGGGAACUUUUUGGUUACAGAAAAUGCAUGACCAAAUGUGGAUAUUAUAAGAUCAGAUGAAUAUUAGAAAAGAAGGGGAAGUUGAGUCCCAAAUUAAUACUGUGAUUUGGCAAGAUGAUAACAUGGAGCUGAUCUAGAAUAUCAUUUGCAAGUCUGUUUUGUUUGUUUUAAGCUGGCUUUAUGCCUGGGUUAAGGUAGUGACUUUGUUCAAAACGUUUGGCUCAUAGUUUCUGCAUUUGGAAUUGCAUCUUGAGGCUUUUGUAGCCUAGGCUAACUGUAAAGUGAGGUAAUGACAACCAUGUGCUGUCAUAUCUUGGUCUCCAACUUUUAUAGUGAGAUUAAAUAUUCUAGUCUCCAAAUCUAUUUGACCCAAAAAACUGUGCCAUCCAAGCACUUUUAGGCAGCUUAUGAAACGAAGAAUAUUCUUCGGAAAUGAACUCCCGCUUGUUUAGGUUUGAAGCCUAUGUUCUGUUCUAUCUUUGAUCAGAUUUCUUCUUCUCUGCACUCUUAUCUAUUUCUGUGUGUGUGUUUCUGCACACACACAGAGUGACCUGACAGUCAUCUAAUAAUAUCUCUAUCCAACCAAUCUUGCUAUUCCCAAUCACUACAAUUAAGCUUAAAACUCUUAUUCUACCAACAUAAAAUUUCCAUAAAGGUGUAUAUGCUCAAAUACACUAAAUUAGCUACUGAGCUAGCAUAGUUCGGGUGUUGAAGUUAUCGAUCCCAGAUAUUAGUAUAUGGAUAAAUGUCACCGUUGCCAUACACAAAAAAGGUGCCUUUAGCUCGUUUUUAUUGUUUAGCAAAUGUUUGAUACUCUUAAAGAAUCUGGAGUUACUAGUAUUUUGUGUUUAUUCUGUCUUUGCAAAUGAUAGAUUAUGAAGUCAUGGUUCAUGGAAAUUUCAUUGAGGCCACAUCAGGUGAUUUGGUAAAAUAUGAUAGCAAUGAAACGAAUAACAUUGACAACAAUCGACUAGAACUUAACAGCCUUUUCAUUACGAAUGGUGACGAUAUACUUCUAUUGAAAUUUUGCCUAGGUAAAUGCAGCAAGAACAGAAGGUGCUCAUGGUGUUAUGCUUGGACGUGCAGCCUAUAGCAAUCCAUGGCAAACAUUGGGACAUGUAGACAGUUUAGUAUAUGGUGCACCUCGAAGUGAUCUAACCAGGCGUCAGGUCCUUGAGCAGUACCAGAUAUAUGGUGAUUCAGUCCUUGGCAAAUAUGGGCAAAAACCAAGUGUUCGGGAUGUUGUUAAGCCUUUGCUUGGUCUUUUUCAUUCUGAGCCUGGAAAUGCCUUAUGGAAACGCAACGUUGACUCUGCUUUUCAACAUUGCACGACUAUAAAAUCCCUUUUGGAGGAGACAUUGGUGGCAAUUCCUGACUUUGUUCUGGAUUCACCUGUUGGUGUGGCACCAUCUGGUUGCACAGAAGCUUUUGCCAAUUCAAAAAGUUUAUUACCUCCUCCAUAUAUAACCACAGAAAAAGAGAUCAUGUAUGCCUAACUUUAAAUGCAUGCAAAACUUCUGAUGUUCGCUAUGUAUUGCAAAGAUAUUCAGUAGUUUCUAUUCUUUGGGAUAUAAAUUGGAUGUCCCGUGUAAAAUCAGGAAAUUUCUUUUUAGGAUACAAGUAGGCUGAAAGGGCUUACAUGCAGACUCUUAGCUACCACUGUUCAGACUAACAAUGUUCUGAGUUAAAGAUUCCACAAAGUUAUUUAUAGAUUUAGGUUCCUUCUCAAGUGCACCAAUCUAUGCCUGUGGCAGAUAUUUUACCUAUAUAGACUCCUUAUGGUGCCCAUUCAAGUUUCCUGUAGUACUCGUAUUUCUGAAUUGGUACUAUGCAACAUGUGUUGAUUCGCCAGUUAUGAAUUUCAGAGAGAUUUGAACGAUGUUA
Molecule: non-coding RNA, 4532 nt
Organism: Coffea arabica (coffee)
Lineage: Eukaryota; Viridiplantae; Streptophyta; Magnoliopsida; Gentianales; Rubiaceae
Source: RefSeq, a predicted model, not a curated record